UACGUAGGGGGCGAGCGUUGUCCGGAUUUAUUGGGCGUAAAACGCUUGUAGGCGGCCACAUCGCGUCGGACGUGAAAUCUCCCGGCUCAACUGGGAGGGGUCGUGCGAUACGGAUGGGCUCGAGGCCGGUAGGGGGACGCGGAAUUCCCGGUGUAGUGGUGGAAUGCGUAGAUAUCGGGAGGAACACCAGUGGCGAAGGCGACUUCCUGGCCUGUUCUUGACGCUGAGGCGCGAAAGCUAGGGGAGCAAACGGG
Molecule: ribosomal RNA, 254 nt
Filed under: uncultured bacterium
Lineage: Bacteria
Description: partial 16S ribosomal RNA
Rfam family: Bacterial small subunit ribosomal RNA
Source: RNAcentral